RNAcentral lists this non-coding RNA (218 nucleotides) under Acetobacter pasteurianus. Lineage: Bacteria; Pseudomonadati; Pseudomonadota; Alphaproteobacteria; Acetobacterales; Acetobacteraceae. The record is from RNAcentral.
AAAAAGUAAUUUAUCGAUGGUUCUACGCGAGUAGAUUAAAAGGGAACCCCGUGCUUCUGUAGGUUAUACAGGAAAGUCGGGGGCUGCUCCCGCAACUGUAGGCGGUAUGUUAUCUCUUCGGUGCCAGAAAUGGCAGGCCACUGGUGAUUUCACUGGGAAGGCCAGAAGGGUGACGCGAAGCCGUGAGUCAGGAUAUCUGCCAUUGAUUGUGCAACCAU